RNAcentral lists this transfer RNA (63 nucleotides) under Aspergillus carbonarius ITEM 5010. It matches the Rfam family "tRNA", at positions 1 to 62 of the family's 71-position model. From Rfam's summary of the family: Transfer RNA (tRNA) molecules are approximately 80 nucleotides in length. Their secondary structure includes four short double-helical elements and three loops (D, anti-codon, and T loops). The record is from Rfam by way of RNAcentral. Lineage: Eukaryota; Fungi; Ascomycota; Eurotiomycetes; Eurotiales; Aspergillaceae.
UCCGAUAUGGUGUAGUGGCUAACAUCGCCGUCUCUCACACGGCAGCCGGGGGUUCGAUUCCCC